This 21-nucleotide non-coding RNA is filed under the name Arabidopsis thaliana (thale cress). The record is from RNAcentral. Lineage: Eukaryota; Viridiplantae; Streptophyta; Magnoliopsida; Brassicales; Brassicaceae.
GAAUGUGAACUCUCAGAGAAU